Molecule: long non-coding RNA, 340 nt
Organism: Cygnus olor (mute swan)
Lineage: Eukaryota; Metazoa; Chordata; Aves; Anseriformes; Anatidae
Exons: 4
Source: RefSeq, a predicted model, not a curated record
CAGGAGGCCCCAGAAGGCUGCAGGAGAGAAGAUCUGCAGGUGGAGAAAAAAUAGCCUCUGAUUACCCAAAUGAAUGAAUCUCAAGACAGAGGCCUGCAGCUGUCUCAAGAUUGUUGCUGCUGCACAUAAAUUUCAGGAUUAUGAUCUGCAUAAUGGAUCCCAGAAAUGAGAAGAAAGCAAGGAGAAAGAUCAGAAGCUUUGAAAAUACCAGUAGAAAAAAUGGAGGGAACUGCAGUGACUUAACCUAGAGAAAACAACAGUAGGUGUUCACACCAUACCAUGGUGUGGGUCUUCAGACAGAGAAAAGGAAAAUGCAAAGGCAAUGUACUGCUUUCUGAAU